Molecule: long non-coding RNA, 497 nt
Filed under: Homo sapiens (human)
Lineage: Eukaryota; Metazoa; Chordata; Mammalia; Primates; Hominidae
Description: non-protein coding lnc-ENPP2-3:1
Source: RNAcentral
AAGAAGACAACCAAGGUCCCCAGUCCCAAGCAGAAGUUGGAAGAACCAGUUCUGGAGUUCAGGCCUCCCCAAGGAGCAAUCACUCAACCACUGAAAAAGCUGAAAAUCAAUGUUUUUAAGGUUCACAAGUGUGCCAUGUGUGGCUUCACCACCGAAAACCUGCUGCAGUUCCACGAACACAUCCCUCAGCACAAAUCGGAUGGUUCUUCAUACCAGCACCGGGAGUGUGGCCUCUGUUACACAUCUCAUGUCUCUCUGUCCAGGCACCUCUUCAUCGUACACAAGUUAAAGGAACCUCAGCCAGUGUCCAAGCAAAAUGGGGCUGGGGAAGAUAACCAACAGGAGAACAAACCCAGCCAUGAGGAUAAUCCCCUGAUGGCACCGUGUCAGACAGAAAGUGCAAAGUGUGCACAAAAACUUUUGAAACUGAAGCUGCCUUAAAUACGGACACACGGCAUGGCCUUCAUCAAAUCCAAAAGGUUGAGCUCAGCCGAGAA